AACUGAAGAGUUUGAUCAUGGCUCAGAUUGAACGCUGGCGGCAGGCUUAACACAUGCAAGUCGAGCGGGGGAAGGUAGCUUGCUACCGGACCUAGCGGCGGACGGGUGAGUAA
Molecule: ribosomal RNA, 113 nt
Filed under: Acinetobacter baumannii ABNIH19
Lineage: Bacteria; Pseudomonadati; Pseudomonadota; Gammaproteobacteria; Moraxellales; Moraxellaceae
Description: partial 16S ribosomal RNA
Rfam family: Bacterial small subunit ribosomal RNA
Source: RNAcentral